Molecule: ribosomal RNA, 497 nt
Filed under: uncultured bacterium
Lineage: Bacteria
Description: partial 16S ribosomal RNA
Rfam family: Bacterial small subunit ribosomal RNA
Source: RNAcentral
GAUGAACGCUGGCGGCGUGCCUAAUACAUGCAAGUCGAGCGAACAGACGAGGAGCUUGCUCCUCUGACGUUAGCGGCGGACGGGUGAGUAACACGUGGAUAACCUACCUAUAAGACUGGGAUAACUUCGGGAAACCGGAGCUAAUACCGGAUAAUAUAUUGAACCGCAUGGUUCAAUAGUGAAAGACGGUUUUGCUGUCACUUAUAGAUGGAUCCGCGCCGCAUUAGCUAGUUGGUAAGGUAACGGCUUACCAAGGCGACGAUGCGUAGCCGACCUGAGAGGGGGAUCGGCCACACUGGAACUGAGACACGGUCCAGACUCCUACGGGAGGCAGCAGUAGGGAAUCUUCCGCAAUGGGCGAAAGCCUGACGGAGCAACGCCGCGUGAGUGAUGAAGGUCUUCGGAUCGUAAAACUCUGUUAUUAGGGAAGAACAAAUGUAUAAGUAACUAUGCACGUCUUGACGGUACCUAAACAGAAAGCCACGGCUAACUACGUG